This 1206-nucleotide ribosomal RNA is filed under the name metagenome. RNAcentral's name for it is "SSU rRNA". It matches the Rfam family "Eukaryotic small subunit ribosomal RNA", at positions 558 to 1823 of the family's 1831-position model. The record is from RNAcentral.
GUUCUGGUGCCAGCAGCCGCGGUAAUUCCAGCUCCAGUAGCGUAUAUUAAAGUUGCUGCAGUUAAAAAGCUCGUAGUUGAAUUUCUGUUUGUAAGAGUCGAAGCUUUACAGCUAAGAUUUCUUCGAACAUCUGUUUGCAAGCAUACGUUCGGCCUUCACUGGUUGGCUAUGUAAGCAAGCGCUUUACCUUGAGAAAAUUAGAGUGUUCCAGGCAGGCUUCAGCCGGAAUACAUUAGCAUGGAAUAAUGGAAUAGGACUGGGGACUAUUUAUUGGUUUGAGGCUCCAGUAAUGAUUAAUAGGAACAGUCGGGGGCAUUGGUACUUAACAGUCAGAGGUGAAAUUCUUGGAUUUGUUAAAGACUAACUAAUGCGAAAGCAUUUGCCAAGCAUGUUUUCAUUAAUCAAGAACGAAAGUUAGGGGAUCAAAGACGAUUAGAUACCGUCCUAGUCUUAACUGUAAACGAUUCCAUCUUAGAAUUGGGUGAAUAUUUGAUGAUUCAUCCAGCGCUAUAAGAGAAAUCAAAGUCUUUGGGUUCUUGGUGGAGUACGAUCGCAAGAUUGAAACUUAAAGGAAUUGACGGUUUUGCACACCAUGGAGUGGAGCCUGUGGCUUAAUUUGACCCAACACUGGGAAACUCAUCAGGACAACAAAGUUUUAGGAUUGACAGAUUGAUAGCUCUUUCUUGAUUGACUUAAUGGUGGUGCAUGGCCGUUCUUAGUUGGUGGAGUGAUUUGUCUGGUUAAUUCCGUUAACGAAUGAGACCUUAACCUACUAACUAGUACGACGUGACGAACGUUAGUUACUUCUUAGAGGGACAAUGUGUAUUUUUAACACAAGGAAGUUUAAGGCAAUAACAGGUCUGUGAUGCCCUUAGAUGUCCUGAGCCGCACACGCGCUACAAUGACACUUUCAAUAAGUUUUUGCUGGUCCGACAGGAUUUCGGCUAAUCUUUUUAGUAAGUGUCGUGCUAGGGAUAGAUCUUUGCAAUUGUGGAUCUUGAACGAGGAAUUCCUAGUAAGCACAAGUCAUCAGCUUGUGCUGAUUACGUCCCUGCAAAAUGUACACAUCGCCCGUCGCUUGCUCCGAUUGAGUAAUCUGGUGAGCCUUCUUGACUGAGUAAGUAAUUACGAAGAAAAUUAAGCAAACCAUAUUACUUAGAGGAUGAAGAAGUCGUAACAAAGUUUCCGUAGGUGAACCUGCGGAAG